GGGGGGGGGGGGGGGGGGGGCGGGGGCGGGGGGGGGGGGGGGGGGGGGGGGGGGGGGGCGGGGCGGGGGGGGGCGGCGGGCGGGGGAGUAACACGUGGAUCACCUACCUAUAAGACUGGGAUAACUGCGGGAAACCGUAGCUCAGACCGGAUAAUAUUUUGAACCGCAUGGUUCAAAAGUGAACGACGGUCUUGCUGUCACUUAUAGAUGGAUCCGCGCUGCAUUAGCUAGUUGGUCAGGUAACGGCUUACCAAGGCAACGAUGCAUAGCCGACCUGAGAGGGGGAUCGGCCACACUGGAACUGAGACACGGUCCAGACUCCUACGGGAGGCAGCAGUAGGGAAUCUUCCGCAAUGGGCGAAAGCCUGACGGAGCAACGCCGCGUGAGUGAUGAAGGUCUUCGGAUCGUAAAACUCUGUUAUUAGGGAAGAACAUAUGUGUAAGUAACUGUGCACAUCUUGACGGUACCUAAUCAGAAAGCCACGGCUAACUACGUG
RNAcentral lists this ribosomal RNA (497 nucleotides) under uncultured bacterium. Its description in RNAcentral is "partial 16S ribosomal RNA". It matches the Rfam family "Bacterial small subunit ribosomal RNA", at positions 27 to 507 of the family's 1533-position model. The record is from RNAcentral.